GGAGCUUUGGCCGAGAGGUUUAAGGCACUCGCUUGGAAAGCGGGCGCACCUCGAAAGGGGUGCCAUGGGUUCGAAUCCCAUAGGCUCCG
Molecule: transfer RNA, 89 nt
Filed under: Agrobacterium rubi
Lineage: Bacteria; Pseudomonadati; Pseudomonadota; Alphaproteobacteria; Hyphomicrobiales; Rhizobiaceae
Description: tRNA-Ser
Rfam family: tRNA
About the family: Transfer RNA (tRNA) molecules are approximately 80 nucleotides in length. Their secondary structure includes four short double-helical elements and three loops (D, anti-codon, and T loops).
Source: RNAcentral